This is a long non-coding RNA of Salvelinus fontinalis (brook trout), 2621 nucleotides long. RefSeq lists it as uncharacterized. The transcript has 2 exons. NCBI's taxonomy places the organism in Eukaryota, Metazoa, Chordata, Actinopteri, Salmoniformes, Salmonidae. The record is from RefSeq and is a predicted model, not a curated record.
UUUAGCGCACGCUGUAUGCUUGAAGUAACGUUAAUUUAAAAAAUGUAACCCAGCGAUUGCAUUAAGAACUAAUUUGUCUUUCAAUUGCUGUCUACCCUGUAUUUUUGUUGUCAAGUUUAUGAAUAGUUUUCGAUUAGAAUAGGUGCCUCUCCAAGAUGGCGCCGGACAGAUUGCUUGAGGUUUUGGACACUAAUCACAUUGUAUAAGCACGAUUUGUGCCGCUAAAUAUGCACAUUUUCGAACAAACUCUAUAUGCAUUGUGUAAUAUGAUGUUAUAGGACUGUCAUCUGAAGAAUUCUGAGAAGGUUAGUGAAAAAAUUAAUAUAUUUUGGUGGUUUAUACGUUAUCGCUAUUUUUGCCUUUAAUCAAUGCUGUUGUGAUGUUUGCUAUUGUGGUAAGCUAAUAUAACGCUAUAUUGUGUUUUCGCUGUAAAACACUUAGAAAAUCUGAAAUAUUGUCUGGAUUCACAAGAUCUGUGUCUUUCAUCUGCUGUACGCUGUGUAUUUUUAAGAAAUGUUUUAUGAUGAGUAAUUAGCUAAUACACGAUGGUCUCUGUAGUUAUUCUAGUUGCUUUGGUGAGAGUUGUGAUAGUGGCUGCAAUGGUAAACUAUGAUUUAUACCUGAAAUAUGCACAUUUUUCUAACAAAACAUAUGCUAUACAAUAAAUAUGUUAUCAGACUGUCAUCUGAUGAAGUUGGCUGUUUAUAUCUUUAUUUGGUCGAAUUUGUGAUAGCUACUGAUGGAGUAAAAAAAUGGUGGAGUAAAGAAGUGGUGUCUUUUGCUAACGUGGUUAGCUAAUAGAUUUACAUAUUGUGUCUUCCCUGUAAAACGUUUUAAAAAUCACAAAUGAUGGCUGAAUUCACAAGAUGUGUAUCUUUCAUUUGGUGUCUUGGACUUGUGAUUUCAUGAACAUUUUAUUAUAUGAUAUCCCUGUGGCUUUAGGCUAGGCUAUGCUAGUCAGCUUUUUUGAUGGGGGUGCUCCCGGAUCCGGGUUUGUGAGGCGUUAUAGGUUAACCCUUUCAUGCAUGAGUUCCAAAUAUUUCUAACGGUCGCCCCAGCGUGAGUUUUGUUAUGCACGUGAUGUUAGAACAUUCUCUCCAUUCAAGAAUGUGAUUGUUAUGUAACAGUACAUUUAAUCUGCGCUGCCCUCAAACCAAAGCACGCAGCCUGUUUUAUUUGUCAAUUUUAAAUUAUUUUCUAACAAGUUUUUUAUUUUCUAAUAACAGUUGGAAAUGAGGUGUGUUCCGCCUCAUUCAUUCACAUAAAAGUAGUCAUUUUUACUUUUGCGGACCAAUUAAUUUUUUUGACAUUUCUGACCCGGACAAAAUUCCCCAAACACUUCUCAAUUGUUUGUGCAGGACAUUUACUCAUCUGCCGUCCUGCAUACACGUGUUCAUAUUUUCCACCUGUCACCUGCAUCGAAAUCAAAGUUGUUUUCGUUACCAAUAAUACCUUUGGAAAUGUGUGCGUUUCUAUCAAAGUGCCUAAAUACUUUAUAAUAGUUUCUGCAUGUCGUGUUACGUCGUUUCUACUGUAACAUGUUUUUGUGUAUAUUCCUUAUAACUGCGGACACGCGAUGUAACGUUACUCGUUUCAUAACAUUUAUGGUGUUAUACUCAACGCUUAGGUAUCUAGCUACAUUCUCCUAUUAGCUCUGGAAAACAAUGCUAAUUGCGUCAGGGAAGUAUUAGCAUGUGUUGUAUUUUGAAGCUACACUGGCCUUAUGACUCCCAAGUGGCACAGCGUCUCAGUGCUAGAAGCGUCACUACAGAGACCCAUCUUCAAAUCAAGACUGCGUUUCUAUCAAAGUGGUCCACCUUCCCUGUGGCCGACAUGGUUGCUGUAUGGACAGUGGAGAGGACAUGGACGUCUCGUUUGUCAAGCCACUUUACUGCCAGCUGUUAACAUUUCUUAUUUUGAAUAACGGGUCAUUUAGGAUGGUAGUAGUGUUGAUGAAAUGCAGUCAUAGCAGCAGAACUAGAAAGCAGUCUUUACUGUCACCAGGAAUGUAUACAUUUCACUAAUUGUGGUUGUCCCCCACUCCUGGCUCUCUCUUAUCCUGUAGCUCCAAAGCAUAGUGAUUGGUCUCUACUAUGUCUCCCACCAGCUCCUCUGUCAGAAACAACUUGAAGCACUCUGCCUCAGUUGGAAAUGGCAAGGGGCGUUGCACUCCAGACUGGGACUCGCCAAAGCAAACAGCAGGGCCAGGAAGGGUGAAAUGACUGGUGGCCUUCCAGCUACCACAGAAAUCCUGUACUUCAUCUACUGUUGGUAUGCCUCCAUCACCACCAGCAUCUUCAAAGGGACCUGGGACUUCGUCAGUGGACAAGGGAAAUUCAGAUUCAGGGUUCUCAAUGGCUACAAGGUUGGGGGGCAGCUCCUCACUCACUGUCAGAAUCUGAUUCCUGACUUUCAUACUCUGACUCAUUGUCAGAAUUUUUAAAAAAUCUCCAGAAUUUCCACAUUUGUUUGUUGUCUCCUUUUGAAAGACAUUGCUAAUGCUUCAGCUUAGCUCACUAGCUACAUACAUAAACAACAACACUGAAUGGUUUACAGUGAGAGGGUACGUGGUUGACUGCCGGCACGCGCCACUUGUAUCAAUAAAUCACUAUCAGAAAAUG